GAGAAUGUUGACAUGAGUAGCGACAAAGAGGGUGAGAGACCCUCUCGCCGAAAGUCCAAGGGUUCCUGCUUAAAGCUAAUCUGAGCAGGGUGAGCCGGCCCCUAAGGCGAGGCCGAAAGGCGUAGUCGAUGGGAACUAGGUUAAUAUUCCUAGGCCAGUGGGAAGUGACGGAUCUCAGAUGUAGUUUGCCCUUAUCGUAUUGGGUGGGCUGCUGAGAGGUUCCUGGAAAUAGCCCCACAUCAGACCGUACCCUAAACCGACACAGGUGGACUGGUAGAGUAUACCAAGGCGCUUGAGAGAACCACGUUAAAGGAACUCGGCAAAAUGCCUCCGUAAGUUCGCGAGAAGGAGGCCCCAUCAGUAGGCAACUAUUGGUGGGGGGCACAAACUAGGGGGUGGCGACUGUUUACUUAAAACACAGGGCUGUGCGAAGCCGUAAGGCGACGUAUACAGUCUGACGCCUGCCCGGUGCUGGAAGAUUAAGAGGAGGGGUGCAAGCUCUGAAUUGAAGUCCCAGUAAACGGCGGCCGUAACGAUAACGGUCCUUAGGUAGCGAAAUUCCUUGUCGGGUAAGUUCCGACCUGCACGAAUGGCGUAACGAUCUCCCCGCUGUCUCUAACGUGGACUCAGCGAAAUUGAACUGUGUGUCAAGAUGCACACUUCCCGCGGUUAGACGGAAAGACCCCAUGCACCUUUACUCUAGCUUUGCACUGGCAUCGGGAUUGUGAUGUGCAGGAUAGGUGGUAGACAUUGAAGCGGGGACGCUAGUCUUCGUGGAGUCACCCUUGAGAUACCACCCUUCGCACUCUUGAUGUCUAACCGCGGCCCGUUAUCCGGGUCCGGGACCCUGCAUGGUGGGGAGUUUGACUGGGGCGGUCGCCUCCUAAACAGUAACGGAGGCGCGCGAUGGUUGGCUCAGACCGGUCGGAAAUCGGUCGUUGAGUGCAAUGGCAGAAGCCAGCCUGACUGCAAGUCUGACAAGACGAGCAGAGACGAAAGUCGGUCAUAGUGAUCCGGUGGUCCCAAGUGGGAGGGCCAUCGCUCAACGGAUAAAAGGUACGCUGGGGAUAACAGGCUGAUGAUGCCCAAGAGUCCAUAUCGACGGCAUCGUUUGGCACCUCGAUGUCGGCUCAUCUCAUCCUGGGGCUGGAGCAGGUCCCAAGGGUAUGGCUGUUCGCCAUUUAAAGAGGUACGUGAGCUGGGUUUAGAACGUCGUGAGACGGUUCGGUCCCUAUCUGCCGUGGGUGUAGGAGACUUGAGAAGAGUUGCCCCUAGUACGAGAGGACCGGGGUGAACGAACCACUGGUGGGCCAGUUAUCGUGCCAACGGUAGUGCUGGGUAGCUAUGUUCGGACAGGAUAAACGCUGAAGGCAUCUAAGCGUGAAGCCCCCUUCAAAACAAGGUCUCCCUUGAGAGCCGUGGAAGACCACCACGUCGAUAGGCCAGAGGUGUAAGUGCAGCAAUGCAUUCAGCUGACUGGUACUAAUUGCUCUAA
RNAcentral lists this ribosomal RNA (1495 nucleotides) under metagenome. RNAcentral's name for it is "bacterial LSU rRNA". It matches the Rfam family "Bacterial large subunit ribosomal RNA", at positions 1290 to 2913 of the family's 2925-position model. The record is from RNAcentral.